Molecule: ribosomal RNA, 429 nt
Filed under: Chloroflexota bacterium
Lineage: Bacteria; Bacillati; Chloroflexota
Description: Chloroflexi bacterium partial 16S ribosomal RNA
Rfam family: Bacterial small subunit ribosomal RNA
Source: RNAcentral
UGGGGAAUAUUGCACAAUGGGCGCAAGCCUGAUGCAGCCAUGCCGCGUGUAUGAAGAAGGCCUUCGGGUUGUAAAGCACUUUCAGCGGGGAGGAAGGCGAUAAGGUUAAUAACCUUGUCGAUUGACGUUACCCGCAGAAGAAGCACCGGCUAACUCCGUGCCAGCAGCCGCGGUAAUACGGAGGGUGCAAGCGUUAAUCGGAAUUACUGGGCGUAAAGCGCACGCAGGCGGUCUGUCAAGUCGGAUGUGAAAUCCCCGGGCUUAACCUGGGAACUGCAUUCGAAACUGGCAGGCUAGAGUCUUGUAGAGGGGGGUAGAAUUCCAGGUGUAGCGGUGAAAUGCGUAGAGAUCUGGAGGAAUACCGGUGGCGAAGGCGGCCCCCUGGACAAAGACUGACGCUCAGGUGCGAAAGCGUGGGGAGCAAACAGG